GACAGAGGUCCCAAGCGUUAGGCGGAAUCACUGGGCUUAAAGCGUGUGUAGGCGGACUUCUAAGUACCUUGUGAAAUCCCACGGCUCAACCGUGGAACUGCUUGGUAUACUGGUUGUCUUGGGCCAUCUAGGGGCUAGCGGAACAAACGGUGGAGCGGUGAAAUGCGUAGAUAUCGGAAAGAACACCGAUGGCGAAGGCGGAUCUCUGGGCCGUAACUGACGCUGAGGAGCGAAAGCAUGGGGAGCGAACAGG
RNAcentral lists this ribosomal RNA (253 nucleotides) under uncultured bacterium. Its description in RNAcentral is "partial 16S ribosomal RNA". It matches the Rfam family "Bacterial small subunit ribosomal RNA", at positions 524 to 776 of the family's 1533-position model. The record is from RNAcentral.